UGGGCGGCGAGUGUGCCCAGGGGCGCGCGCGAGUGCCCGCCUGCCUGGAGACCGAGGCGCGGGCGUGGAGGGCGGCGGAGGCUCCGAGGGAUUUAGGUAUUCGUGUCCACCUCAGAGCCUGCUCCCUCUGAAGUCUCCUGUGUUCUUCUAACAACCCUAGGAAUUCUUCAGCCCGGAGGCUGUGUACUCAACAGGCAGACCGCUCAGUCUGUGUAUGUUGUCUGAAUUUCUGGAAUCUACACCUGGUACCUCUCCACUGGCACCCACAAUUUAAGAAAGUGAAUAGAAGCUUUCAAGGAGGAACAUGGCACACCAGGAUCAGGAGCUACUGUAGACAUUUCCAUCUAUUUUGGGGUUCUGUUUGAUUUGAGAAACUGUGAUUGCUCAGGUCAACAUACUUUUUUCCCCUCAUUUUUGAACUGGCUCUCUUUGCAGAACAACCUUUGUUUCUUUCCCUUUUUGAUUUUUUACCCACUCAUGUGUGUUAGGAUCUACAUACAUGAAUAUUUGAAGUUUAAACUUCUGUUUGCAAGCAUGGUAGAACCAUUUAAUGCUGUGUGUGUGUUUGCAUGUGUGCACUCAGUUGUGUCUGACUCUUUGCGACCCCAUGGACUGUAGCCCGUCAGGCUCUUCUGUCCAUGGGAUUUUCCAGGCAAGAAUACUGGAGUGGGUUGCCAUUUCCUUCUCCAGGGGAUCUUCUCCACCCAGGGAUCGAACACGUGUCUCUUGCGUGUCUGGCAUUGGUAGGCGGAUUCUUUGCCACUGUGUCACCUACUCUUCCUAAUUAGCUCUCAGGCAGAUGUUGGACUUUCUGAAAUAUACAGCACAGAAUGUCUUCCUUGGAAAGACCCUUCAUUAAAAGAAAGACUCCACCACCCGAUGUCUGCUAUUAAAUUUCAACUAAUCAGUCCUAACUCAACUCUGCCACUGACUCUCUUCGUGGGUGAAAAUUAGUAUCUAAUUUUUGGUAGCUCACUGAGCAAUUUUUGGCAAAGUAACCACUCCAGCCACGCUCCCAUUUGCCUGCUGCCGUCCUGGUGGAAUGUUUCUCCAGUUUCACUGAUGUGUUCAUUAAUGUCAGUGUUCACGUUCGAUGGUGGUGACUGGAGAAGACGGAACAAGAACCAGGAAGAGAAAGAGGUGCUGACAGUGAUGGCACCGCUCAUAGGAGCAGCAGAAUAAUGCUGCAGUUUACCAGCUGGGGUUAGUAAUGUCCUCAUUUUCCCUCUCACUCUGAAUCUUUGCCCUGGAUAAGGGGGAGUUGAAUUUAGCUUUAAGAAGGGAUUAGUAAGAAGAGAAUGUGAAUGUUGGUUUGACAGGUGGGGUGGGGGAGGCCACUAAAGCCCAGGGGCCAAUAGCCACGCUAGCUCUUGGUUUUCCUCCAUGUUCAAAACCCAGCGCUAGUAGGUUUCCAUUCUAAAAAAGUUUAUAACAAAAAGUGAGCCAUUUGAGUGUGAAUGUUACUAACAACAUGAUGGUGAGGAUAUUUGACUUAGAAUCUUAUCUUUUUUUUAAAGCUGAGGCUGUGUUUAAAAUUUCAUUGGUGAUUUCCUUUUAUUUACCCAUUAGAAUUAUUGAGAAUUUUUAAUAAAACUACAAAUGACAGAAAGCUGACCUGGAGGUGUAUGUUGUCUAAAGUGUGUUUAUUGAUUCAAAGUGUAAGAGAGCAAAUAGAAUUAAAAUUACUUGAUUUAUAAGUCACAGUUAGUAUUACUACUGUAAUAUAUAGGAUGGAUAAACAAGUUCCUACUGCAUAGCACAGGGACCUAUACUCAAGAUCCUGUGAUAAACCAUAAUGGAAAAGAAUAUGAAAAAGAAUAUAUAUAUAUAUACAUAUGUAUAAUGGAAUCUCUUUGCUGUACUGCAGAAAUUAACACAGCAUUGUUAUUUGUAAAUCAACUAUACUUCAAUAAAACAGAGGACUGCAUGCAU
Molecule: long non-coding RNA, 1932 nt
Organism: Dama dama (fallow deer)
Lineage: Eukaryota; Metazoa; Chordata; Mammalia; Artiodactyla; Cervidae
Exons: 4
Source: RefSeq, a predicted model, not a curated record